Molecule: ribosomal RNA, 494 nt
Filed under: uncultured bacterium
Lineage: Bacteria
Description: partial 16S ribosomal RNA
Rfam family: Bacterial small subunit ribosomal RNA
Source: RNAcentral
GACGAACGCUGGCGGCGUGCUUAACACAUGCAAGUCGAACGGUGAAGCGCCUUCCUUUUUGGUGGGUGUGGAUGAGUGGCGAACGGGUGAGUAACACGUGGGUAACCUGCCCCCUUCUGCUGGAUAACCGCAUGAAAGUGUUGCUAAUACGGGAUAUUCUGGGUCUGUCGCAUGAUGGGUCUGGGAAAGAUAUUGUUUCGGUGGGGGAUGGGCUCGCGGCCUAUCAGCAUGUUGGUGGGGUGGUGGCCUACCAAGGCGGUGACGGGUAGCCGGCCUGAGAGGGUGGACGGGCUCAUUGGGGAGGAGGAACGGCCAAGCCGCGAAUGAGAGGCAGCAGAGGGUAAUACUGGAGGAUGCGGGCGAGAAUGAUGCAGCGACGGCGAGUGAGUGAUGGAGCACUUCGGGGUGAGAGCUUAUGUCGUUAGUGAAGUAGGGCUGCCUUGUUUGUGGGUGUGUUGACGGUAGCUGGAGAAGAAGCGCCGGCUAACUACGUG